AAAAAAAAAAAAAAAAAAGAGACAUCUGCUCAAAACAUAUAUUUGAACUAAUGUAUGGAAUGUGGAUGGUUUGAUUGUGGCACGAUUUGAGUAGUAAUAUAUCUGAUCUUGUAUCAAAACUGAUUGGAACACGAGAAGUCUUCUGAGACUGAAUGGCUUUUAUAAGGUGGCAAUAUCAAUAUGCAUGGUUAUUCCAAUCUUGCAAUGCAAAUCUUGGGUUGUGGGGAAGAGUAUGCUAUCCAUUUCAUCCUGCCUCUUUACUUUUAUUUUAUGGUCUUUGACAUGGCAGA
Molecule: unclassified non-coding RNA, 290 nt
Filed under: Hevea brasiliensis (rubber tree)
Lineage: Eukaryota; Viridiplantae; Streptophyta; Magnoliopsida; Malpighiales; Euphorbiaceae
Source: RNAcentral